CCUACGGGUGGCAGCAGUGGGGAAUAUUGGGCAAUGGAGGCAACUCUGACCCAGCAACGCCGCGUGACUGAUGAAGGUUUUCGGAUUGUAAAGUUCUUUUCUCAGGGAAGAAGAAAGUGACGGUACCUUAGGAAUAAGCCUCUGCUAACUACGUGCCAGCAGCCGCGGUAAUACGUAGGAGGCAAGCGUUCUCCGGCAUGACUGGGCGUAGAGGGUGCGUAGGUGGUUUUACAAGUGGGUAGCGAAACCCCGGGGCUCAACAUCGGCACUGCUACCAAAACUGUCGGACUUGAGUGCAGGAGGGGCAAAUGGAAUGCCUAGUGUAGCGGUGGAAUGCGUAGAUAUUAGGAGGAAAACCAGUGGCGAAGGCGAUUUGCUGGACUGUAACUGACACUGAGGCACGAAAGCGUGGGGAGCAAACAGGAUUAGAUACCCGAGUAGUC
This 443-nucleotide ribosomal RNA is filed under the name uncultured bacterium. Its description in RNAcentral is "partial 16S ribosomal RNA". It matches the Rfam family "Bacterial small subunit ribosomal RNA", at positions 338 to 795 of the family's 1533-position model. The record is from RNAcentral.